RNAcentral lists this Y RNA (112 nucleotides) under Saimiri boliviensis boliviensis (Bolivian squirrel monkey). RNAcentral describes it as "Y RNA (ENSSBOG00000001052.1)". It matches the Rfam family "Y RNA". From Rfam's summary of the family: Y RNAs are components of the Ro ribonucleoprotein particle (Ro RNP), in association with Ro60 and La proteins. The Y RNAs and Ro60 and La proteins are well conserved, but the function of the Ro RNP is not known. Lineage: Eukaryota; Metazoa; Chordata; Mammalia; Primates; Cebidae. The record is from Rfam by way of RNAcentral.
GGCUGGUCCAAAGGUAGUGAGUUAUCUCAAUUGAUUGCUCACAGUAAGUUACAGAUCGAACUCCUUGUUCUACUCUUUCCCCCUUCUCACUACUGCACUUGACUAGUCUUAA